UUCGCAAUGCCCGAAAGGGUGACGAUGCCACUCCGCGUGAGCGAAGAAGGCCCUAGGGUUGUAAAGCUCUGUCGAGGGUUAUGAAAUAUAGAUGGGUUAAUACCCCAUUUAUUUGACAAAAGCCCAAAAGGAAGCCACGGCUAACUCUGUGCCAGCAGCCGCGGUAAUACAGAGGUGGCGAGCGUUGUUCGGUAUUAUUGGGCGUAAAGAGCACGUAGGUGGUUUUGUAAGUCAGGUGUGAAAGCCUUCUGUUCAAAGGAAGAACGGCAUCUGAAACUGCAGAUCUUGAGUGUAGGAGGGGAGAGUGGAACUUCUGGUGGAGCGGUGAAAUGCGUAGAUAUCAGAAGGAACGUCGGCGGCGAAAGCGACUCUCUGGCCUAUUACUGACACUGAGUGUGCGAAAGUUAGGGGAGCAAACGGGAUUAGAUACCCCGGUAGUCCUAGCCGUAAACGAUGGGCACUAAGUAGAGGGGUUUU
This 477-nucleotide ribosomal RNA is filed under the name uncultured anaerobic ammonium-oxidizing bacterium. RNAcentral describes it as "bacterial SSU rRNA". It matches the Rfam family "Bacterial small subunit ribosomal RNA", at positions 365 to 832 of the family's 1533-position model. The record is from RNAcentral.